UUAGUUUUUGGGUUUGAUAUUUUGAUUUAUGUGUUUUGUUCAUCUCUAGUGGAUCUAGCUUGUAGUAUAGUUCAAUGUAGUAACCUAAGUAGGAAUUCAUUUUUCUGUAUAACCAUUCUUCAUAGUUGUGAAACUUUAGAUGCAACAAAUUAGAGUCUAAGGAAAUUUCAAGGAUGAAAUUUUCAUAAGGGAGGUAGAAUGUCAUUACUUGUCCUUAGCCCAAUACUGUUGCAAUUGCAGCCCAACAUUGUAGUUCCUAUGUGGUACCAUAGCAACCUAAGUUCAACCUUCUCUCUUUCAAUUCCUCCUUCAUCCUUGGACUGCAAACCCUAGCUUCUUAUCUGUUCAUUUUCUUCCCUUUAAUGGCUAAAGAUUUAGAGAAGUUUGGAAAAGGAGAAGAAGCAAGGUAUCUGCAACCCCACAUCUUAAGCGAUAGAAGCUAGAGGAGUCUAUCAACACGGUCAAGAGAAAUCUAGCUUUCAUUAAUCCUAGAAGAGUGAGCGGAGUAGCUAUGAUGAUCAAAUUCACACCGGCUAUCCUCUUGAGUGUUUGGUUAGAAAAAAACAUAAGCAUAUCUUUGAUGUUUAUUUUUUACUGACCUCUUUCUGUGAUUAAUAAAGCGACUUAUCUAUUUUUCUUUUGGGUAUCUGCAACCCCACAUCUUAAGCUAUAGAAGCUAAAGGAGUCUAUAAACACAGUUAAUAGAAAUCUGACUUUCAUUGAUCCUAGAAGAGUGAGCCGAGUAGCUAUGAUGAUCAAAUUCACACCGGCUAGUUUGCUUUGUUUUUGCUCUUCUAAGCUCACUUAGAGACCCUUUCUCUAUGUUGAGUAUGUUUUUUGUUUUUGUGAGAAUACUUUGUUAGCCCCAUUUUUAA
This is a long non-coding RNA of Dioscorea cayenensis subsp. rotundata (Guinea yam), 875 nucleotides long. RefSeq lists it as uncharacterized. The transcript is spliced from 3 exons. Lineage: Eukaryota; Viridiplantae; Streptophyta; Magnoliopsida; Dioscoreales; Dioscoreaceae. The record is from RefSeq and is a predicted model, not a curated record.